CCGUUAAUCAUUUAACAUGUUUCUAACUGCGUCUAGUUUGUCAGAAACAGAAACAAAAACUGCUUCCAGAGAUGAAAGAGACGCCACAUACACAAAAAAAACUUGGAAAACAUGGGGAUACCAAAUUACCAAUGGAGAUACAUCAAUACCAACAUGAUUAACGUUAUUAUUACAAGCACCGUUCAGUGCAGUGCGGCCGGCUAAUUAUUAUACAUCACAAGAUCCAUGAGGCAUGUCACGCAUUACAUACAUAUGCUACCACACGCUCCAAACCCUGCAACAUAUAUGUCUGUCACACUUCUCCCAAGUGUUCAUCAUCGAUCUCGCCUACACUGCACGAACAGAUCCAAAAAAAGAUUAGCAACUGCUUACCUUCUUAAUUAAUUACGUAGAUCAGAUCCAACAAGAACAUGAGAGCGAGAAAAGGAACUCAUGGAGACGGCGACCACCAUUGGUACGUACCUGCACGCUGCCGGAGCGCGGGCCGGAGCUGGCUCAGUCGCUGUCGCUGUCGCUGCUGCUGCUGCCGUGGCCGUCGUCGUCCUUGUGGCCCUCGCCGUGCUUCUUGUCCUUCUUCUUCUUCUUGUCCUUCUUCUCCUUGUGGUCGCCGUCCUUCUUGCCGUCGCCGCUGAUCUUGUCCUUGAUCUUCUCCAUCAUGCCCUCCUUGUGCUCGCCGUCCUUCUUGUGCUCCCCGUCCUUCUUCUUGUGCUCCUCCGCCUUCUUGUGCUCCUCGUCCUUCUUGUGCUCGUCGCUGCCGCCGCCCAUGUGGAGCUUCUCCUCGAUCUUGUGCAUGAUGCCGGCCAUGGCGCUGCUGUUUCUGGCUACUUCUCUCCAAGGAAAAUGGCGAUGCUAAUGGGAUGCGAUGAUGGUGUUGUGGUGGGUGAUCUUGUUUGGCUCCCCUUCGCCGGUAUUUAUAGACCGGCGAGGGGACGCGGCCCCGUGGCCUGAGGUGGAGGGUGUCUGAAGAAGCGGGAGGACCGCCG
This 983-nucleotide ribosomal RNA is filed under the name Triticum aestivum (bread wheat). Its description in RNAcentral is "partial small subunit ribosomal RNA". Lineage: Eukaryota; Viridiplantae; Streptophyta; Magnoliopsida; Poales; Poaceae. The record is from RNAcentral.